Molecule: transfer RNA, 76 nt
Filed under: Planctomycetota bacterium
Lineage: Bacteria; Pseudomonadati; Planctomycetota
Description: Planctomycetes bacterium tRNA-Lys
Rfam family: tRNA
About the family: Transfer RNA (tRNA) molecules are approximately 80 nucleotides in length. Their secondary structure includes four short double-helical elements and three loops (D, anti-codon, and T loops).
Source: RNAcentral
GGGGGCAUAACUCAGUUGGUAGAGUAGCUGGCUUUUAACCAGUAGGUCCCAGGUUCGAGUCCUGGUGCCCUCACCA